RNAcentral lists this ribosomal RNA (241 nucleotides) under uncultured Gardnerella sp. RNAcentral describes it as "partial 16S ribosomal RNA". It matches the Rfam family "Bacterial small subunit ribosomal RNA", at positions 114 to 355 of the family's 1533-position model. Lineage: Bacteria; Bacillati; Actinomycetota; Actinomycetes; Bifidobacteriales; Bifidobacteriaceae. The record is from RNAcentral.
UGCGUGACCAACCUCGCCCCAUGCUCCAGAAUAGCUCUUGGAAACGGGUGGUAAUGCUGGAUGCUCCAACUUGACGCAUGUCUUGUUGGGAAAGUGUUUAGUGGCAUGGGAUGGGGUCGCGUCCUAUCAGCUUGUAGGCGGGGUAAUGGCCCACCUAGGCUUCGACGGGUAGCCGGCCUGAGAGGGCGGACGGCCACAUUGGGACUGAGAUACGGCCCAGACUCCUACGGGAGGCAGCAGC